This 75-nucleotide transfer RNA is filed under the name Nocardioides sp. Its description in RNAcentral is "tRNA-Val". It matches the Rfam family "tRNA". Rfam says of the family: Transfer RNA (tRNA) molecules are approximately 80 nucleotides in length. Their secondary structure includes four short double-helical elements and three loops (D, anti-codon, and T loops). Lineage: Bacteria; Bacillati; Actinomycetota; Actinomycetes; Propionibacteriales; Nocardioidaceae. RNAcentral also lists the same sequence under 18 other names. The record is from RNAcentral.
GGGCGAUUGGCGCAGUGGUAGCGCGCUUCCCUGACACGGAAGAGGUCACUGGUUCAAACCCAGUAUCGCCCACCA